This 849-nucleotide ribosomal RNA is filed under the name uncultured bacterium. RNAcentral describes it as "bacterial SSU rRNA". It matches the Rfam family "Bacterial small subunit ribosomal RNA", at positions 28 to 888 of the family's 1533-position model. The record is from RNAcentral.
AGUGAACGCUGGCGGCGUGCUUAACACAUGCAAGUCGAACGAUGACAGAGAAGAGCUUGCUUUUCUGCUGAUUAGUGGCGCACGGGUGAGUAGUAUAUAGUUAAUGUACCUCGAAGACCGGGAUAGCCAUUGGAAACGAUGAUUAAUACUGGAUACUCCUUCUAAACUCAAGUUUAGUCGGGAAAUGUUUUUUCGCUUCGAGAUCAGACUAUAUCCCAUCAGUUUGUUGGUGAGGUAAGAGCUCACCAAGGCAAUGACGGGUAGCGGGUUUGAGAGGAUGAUCCGCCACACUGGUACUGAGACACGGACCAGACUCCUACGGGAGGCAGCAGUGAGGAAUAUUGCACAAUGGGCGAAAGCCUGAUGCAGCAACGCCGCGUGGAGGAUGACGCAUUUCGGUGUGUAAACUCCUUUUAUGAGUCAAGAAAAUGACGGUAGCUCAUGAAUAAGCACCGGCUAACUCCGUGCCAGCAGCCGCGGUAAUACGGAGGGUGCAAGCGUUGCUCGGAAUCACUGGGCGUAAAGGACGCGUAGGCUGGUUGGUAAGUCAGAUGUGAAAUCCUACAGCUUAACUGUAGAACUGCAUUUGAAACUACUAACCUAGAGUAUGGGAGGGGGAGAUGGGAUUAGUGGUGUGAGGGGUAAAAUCCGUAGAUAUCACUAGGAAUACCGAAAGCGAAGGCGAUCUCCUGGAACAUUACUGACGCUGAGGCGUGAAAGCGUGGGGAGCAAACGGGAUUAGAUACCCCGGUAGUCCACGCCCUAAACGAUGAACACUAGUCGUCGGGAUGCUUGUCAUCUCGGUGAUGCACUUAACAGAUUAAGUGUUCCGCCUGGGGAGUACGGUCG